GUGGCAGUAUCGUAGCCAAUGAGGUUUAUCCGAGGCGCGAUUAUUGCUAAUUGAAAACUUUUCCCAAUACCCCGCCUUGACGACUUGAAAUAUAGUCGGCAAUGGCAAUUUUUGACGGUCUCUACGGAGACUGAACAUUUUGGUUGCUAAAAGUAGGAAAAAGCGGUGCUUCAGGGAGCAGCUGUGCCAGCUCGAUCGUGUCUUCGGGUCUGCCUAUCGCUAUUGGACGUUCUCCGACGAGCGUUUGGAAGCCCGGCAACAACUUCAAAGAUGAGCUGAAGGCGUGAAGCCCAUCGCUGCCAAGAUCCUAGCUGGAAUGCCGGCUUUUCGUACCUCCUUUUAGUCCGUCUUGCAGUGAACCCAGGUUUCGUCCUUGCACGUGAGAAACGGCCUCAUGGAUGUUUCAGCUCCCAGAAUUCCUCUGCUCCUUUAGCCGCGCAAGUGGUCUUCAAGAGAGGGGAGCCGAAGGACCUGUGGCCUCUCUGUGCUUUGUUGUCGUCUUCGAACCGUUUCAUUAUCCAACUAGCACUGAUGAUGCUGCCUACUUGAGUCAGGAAAUGUCUGCAAGAAUCAGAGCCUACCAAGGACUCCACAGUUCACCAAUGAGCUGCAAAUAUUUUCUUCUAUUGGUAGAAAUGAUUUUAUUUUAUUUAUCUCGUAUAUUUGUGGCCCAUUUGUGGGCACAGUGGAGAGGGGCAUUGGGUGAGGACGACGUGCCCUGGCUGGUCAUGGUUGGCAUCACAGGUGGUUUCAUCCCUGCCUCCCUUUGGGUUGCAAGGAGACAUAGAAGUUUCUAAACGUCGGGCCUGCUUUGCAAGGGGGGGAAGCUAAUAGGUUUUUUGUUUGUGUCUGACAAGCUUCGUUUACUCUCUUGAAAGCACCUGCUCAGUAAGGUAGAGUCACAAAUUACCUUUAUUGCCACAAACCGAAAAAAUGCGAUAGCUUUGUGGGACUGCAAUGAAUGGAAGCAACCUGCAGGAGUGCUGGGAAAAGCUUUAACGAUUUCCUUUUUUUUCAGUGUUUUGUUCAGGAUAACCUGGGUGAUUUGCAGGAUGUUUCUCCCUCUGCCGUGGGCUCUCUCGCCACACACAGCUUUGUGCCCAGCCUUUUCCGCUGCUUUUGUUCUGCUUCAGUCCUGGCUGGAUGUUUUACUACUUGUUCUAGCCUUGAGCCACCAUGAAGAGCACCGGAGCGAGCAAAGCAGCAGGAAGGGAAGGGCUGUUGGAUCUGCAAUCUGUGAACCGCUUGGCUGCUGUUGGGUACAAAUGUUUCUCACCCGGCUUUAAAGUCCAAAGGGUUUGGAGCAGCAAGCAAGAGAGAAAUGCCGACUUUCGUGUGUUGAAACCAAAAUGUAGAACAGCAGGAAAAUAGCAGGCGAUUCCCUCUGGAGCUGAGAGGACAACCCAGGCUUUCUCCAUCUUGGCAACUGUUAAGAUGGGUGGGCUUCAACUCCCAGAGUUCCUCAGUCCAUCUUCAGGCUAAUUAGCAUGCAGGCUGGGGGAUUCUGGGAGCUGAGCUCCACCCAUCUUCAAGCUCCCCUGGUUGAGGCCCAUUGGGGAUAGUCUAUUUUUCUACUUUUCCUUUAACCUGAGUCUAAGACGUCUCUCUGGCACGUUCACUUCUCGGCUGGUGGUGAUACCCAAAAGGAGAAGGAAGGGAGGCCGCUGCUGAACCAAAAGCUACUGCAGCAGCACGGGGACUCUUGAAACCAAACUGCCUGGCUCUCCUACCAAGUCCCGUGGCCUUCAAGGCAGGGCAGGUAGACCCAGGAAUGCGGACAGUUUCUUUCCACGGGAUGCAUCCUGCUAUCCCCGGUCAAAAAUAGAUUGCGGUGCAGGGAUUUUUGUCUGACGUGAAAAAAGGAAGGGCUGUUUUUAAAAGACCGUCUCCCACAUGGGAAGCGAGGUUUCCAAAAGAAGGUGCUAGAACAGAUGAUGGGAUGGCAGGAAAAAACCACCACCCCCUCUCUCUAUGGAGUACGGUUAGGCCUCGACCUGCAACUGUCUGUAUUGGCCAGGGUUCAUAGUUACAACGGUCCCUCAGGGUGAUCUGCUUCUGAGACCUCCUGGCAAACUCAGCGGGGACCCUGGAAUCACUCAACGACCGUGGCAAGAAAAGUCAUAAAGUAGGACAAGUGAGUGAGGUACUUGACAAAUUUCUCACUUAGCAAGAUGGGUUUGGGGCUCCAUUGUGGUCGUAAGUCGAGGCCUGCCUGCAUUUUGCAUUUCUCUCUGGGGGGAUCUGAGGCUGUUUCCUUCGCUGCUUCCCCUGUGGCAAGGAGCCGUGUCCCCGACUCCCAAGUGGGGCUCAGAAGGCCCCCCUGCUUGCACUCCUCCCCCAUUAGCCUAACCCUGAGUAUUUUGACAGCAGAUGGGAAGACUUAAUUUAUUUAAACAAAAAAAAGUGAAGGUGUUUAAUUGAAUUACAUGUGUGGGGGGAGAUAUUACUAAUCCCAUCAACGCAUCCUUAGCUCCUGGGUGAUUAAUGCUGGCAUUAAGUUAAAACAAUUCUCCGCAGCCUUUCCUUGCCGGCAGAAGUUGCAGCUGUUGGGCAGAAACGAAAGCGUUGGGUGACGAUGCCAGAUCCGGAAUCUCGUGGCUUGUUGCCGGAAAGGUGGCCCUUUGCCAAGAGAUUCCUAGAGAGGGAGAGCGGAGAGCCACCCACGGAUGCCACAGGUGGAUGGAAAGCUAGGUGGGGUACAGCAGGAGGAAGGAGAGGGAUCCAGAGGGUGGUCAAAAAGGUCAAGAUGGUGGCUCUGCAAAUGAAUCUGUAACACUCCCAGGAAGCCCCCUUGCCAGUGGCAGGCAGCUGCUCUGGGCCUGGUAGGCAAGGUGCCCCGGUGGGCUUCAGCUUGGCAUGACCCUGCCUGCCAGCCAAGCCACCUGGAGCAGGGCCUCCAGCCACAGCCUCUUUAAGACUGGUGGACUUCAACUCCCAGAAUUCCCCAGCCAGCACCCUCCCACCGCUUAGUGGGGCUGAUGGGAGCUGUCGUACUAAGCCAGUCAAUGAGCGGCCCGAGGGAGGCUGUUCAGGAGAGGAAGAUGUUCUGAGGCCUUGGAGGGCAAGAUCCUGGUUUGCGCACCAGACCCAGCCCAAAGAGGGUUUGGUUUUGGCUUAGCAGGUAGUGGGGGCAAAACGUUGCUCUCUGCUUUGGCAUAGUUUGCAAAUGCAGCUUGGUUGAGGCACGUUAAGAAAACCAGAUUUUGUCCUCCUGUCUGGAGGGGCCAAGAGGUCCUGCGUGGUAGAUCUAGUUGAUCUUGCUGCUUUGUUGGGUUUCUGAGACGUCUUCUGGCUCCCAACCACGUCCCCCAAGACAAGAAGAGCUGAGGGCCCUUCCAUCCAUCCAUCCAUCUCCCUGUUUUCCUCCCUCCUUCCAUUCUUCCCUCCCUGGUUUAGUAUAUUAUAAAAAAAAACAAGGUUGGUGCUAAUUCUGUUGGCAUGGUAUAAAAUUUAAUAAAUAGCAUUGGAUUGUCUAUAAAAAUAGCAAAUAACAGAUAAAUAAUCAUUUCA
Molecule: small nuclear RNA, 3510 nt
Filed under: Naja naja (Indian cobra)
Lineage: Eukaryota; Metazoa; Chordata; Lepidosauria; Squamata; Elapidae
Description: lncRNA (ENSNNAG00000010379.1)
Rfam family: U4 spliceosomal RNA (bases 1-130)
Source: RNAcentral